GGGUUGUGAGGUUAAGCGACUAAGCGUACACGGUGGAUGCCCUGGCAGUCAGAGGCGAUGAAGGACGUGCUAAUCUGCGAUAAGCGCCGGUAAGGUGAUAUGAACCGUUAUAACCGGCGAUUUCCGAAUGGGGAAACCCAGUGUGAUUCGUCACACUAUCAUUAACUGAAUCCAUAGGUUAAUGAGGCGAACCGGGGGAACUGAAACAUCUAAGUACCCCGAGGAAAAGAAAUCAACCGAGAUUCCCCCAGUAGCGGCGAGCGAACGGGGAGGAGCCCAGAGCCUGAAUCAGCAUGUGUGUUAGUGGAAGCGUCUGGAAAGGCGCGCGAUACAGGGUGACAGCCCCGUACACAAAAGCGCAUGUGCUGUGAGCUCGAUGAGUAGGGCGGGACACGUGGUAUCCUGUCUGAAUAUGGGGGGACCAUCCUCCAAGGCUAAAUACUCCUGACUGACCGAUAGUGAACCAGUACCGUGAGGGAAAGGCGAAAAGAACCCCGGCGAGGGGAGUGAAAAAGAACCUGAAACCGUGUACGUACAAGCAGUGGGAGCACCCUUCGGGGUGUGACUGCGUACCUUUUGUAUAAUGGGUCAGCGACUUAUAUUCUGUAGCAAGGUUAACCGUAUAGGGGAGCCGGAGGGAAACCGAGUCUUAACCGGGCGUUAAGUUGCAGGGUAUAGACCCGAAACCCGGUGAUCUAGCCAUGGGCAGGUUGAAGGUUGGGUAACACUAACUGGAGGACCGAACCGACUAAUGUUGAAAAAUUAGCGGAUGACCUGUGGCUGGGGGUGAAAGGCCAAUCAAACCGGGAGAUAGCUGGUUCUCCCCGAAAGCUAUUUAGGUAGCGCCUCGUGAAUUCAUCUCCGGGGGUAGAGCACUGUUUCGGCUAGGGGGCCAUCCCGGCUUACCAACCCGAUGCAAACUGCGAAUACCGGAGAAUGUUAUCACGGGAGACACACGGCGGGUGCUAACGUCCGUCGUGAAGAGGGAAACAACCCAGACCGCCAGCUAAGGUCCCAAAGUCAUGGUUAAGUGGGAAACGAUGUGGGAAGGCCCAGACAGCCAGGAUGUUGGCUUAGAAGCAGCCAUCAUUUAAAGAAAGCGUAAUAGCUCACUGGUCGAGUCGGCCUGCGCGGAAGAUGUAACGGGGCUAAACCAUGCACCGAAGCUGCGGCAGCGAACGUAUCACCCAAGACAACUUUACGGAGUUGACGAUUGACGGAGCGAAGCGACGUCAAAGCGUUCAUUAAAGUCGAGUUGGCUUAGGGAUACGUUCGUUGGGUAGGGGAGCGUUCUGUAAGCCUGUGAAGGUGUGUCGUGAGGCAUGCUGGAGGUAUCAGAAGUGCGAAUGCUGACAUAAGUAACGAUAAAGCGGGUGAAAAGCCCGCUCGCCGGAAGACCAAGGGUUCCUGUCCAACGUUAAUCGGGGCAGGGUGAGUCGACCCCUAAGGCGAGGCCGAAAGGCGUAGUCGAUGGGAAACGGGUUAAUAUUCCCGUACUUGGUGUUACUGCGAAGGGGGGACGGAGAAGGCUAUGUUGGCCGGGCGACGGUUGUCCCGGUUUAAGCGUGUAGGUGUGUGUUCCAGGUAAAUCCGGUUCACUUUAACACUGAGGCGUGAUGACGAGGCACUACGGUGCUGAAGCAACAAAUGCCCUGCUUCCGUGAAAGCCUCUAAGCAUCAGGUAACACGAAAUCGUACCCCAAACCGACACAGGUGGUCAGGUAGAGAAUACCAAGGCGCUUGAGAGAACUCGGGUGAAGGAACUAGGCAAAAUGGUGCCGUAACUUCGGGAGAAGGCACGCUGACACGUAGGUGAAGUGAUUUACUCACGGAGCUGAAGUCAGUCGAAGAUACCAGCUGGCUGCAACUGUUUAUUAAAAACACAGCACUGUGCAAACACGAAAGUGGACGUAUACGGUGUGACGCCUGCCCGGUGCCGGAAGGUUAAUUGAUGGGGUCAGCGCAAGCGAAGCUCCUGAUCGAAGCCCCGGUAAACGGCGGCCGUAACUAUAACGGUCCUAAGGUAGCGAAAUUCCUUGUCGGGUAAGUUCCGACCUGCACGAAUGGCGUAAUGAUGGCCGUGCUGUCUCCACCCGAGACUCAGUGAAAUUGAACUCGCUGUGAAGAUGCAGUGUACCCGCGGCAAGACGGAAAGACCCCGUGAACCUUUACUAUAGCUUGACACUGAACAUUGAGCCUUGAUGUGUAGGAUAGGUGGGAGGCUUUGAAGUGUGGACGCCAGUCUGCAUGGAGCCGACCUUGAAAUACCACCCUUUAAUGUUUGAUGUUCUAACGUGGACCCGUAAUCCGGGUUGCGGACAGUGUCUGGUGGGUAGUUUGACUGGGGCGGUCUCCUCCUAAAGAGUAACGGAGGAGCACGAAGGUUGGCUAAUCCUGGUCGGACAUCAGGAGGUUAGUGCAAUGGCAUAAGCCAGCUUGACUGCGAGCGUGACGGCGCGAGCAGGUGCGAAAGCAGGUCAUAGUGAUCCGGUGGUUCUGAAUGGAAGGGCCAUCGCUCAACGGAUAAAAGGUACUCCGGGGAUAACAGGCUGAUACCGCCCAAGAGUUCAUAUCGACGGCGGUGUUUGGCACCUCGAUGUCGGCUCAUCACAUCCUGGGGCUGAAGUAGGUCCCAAGGGUAUGGCUGUUCGCCAUUUAAAGUGGUACGCGAGCUGGGUUUAGAACGUCGUGAGACAGUUCGGUCCCUAUCUGCCGUGGGCGCUGGAGAACUGAGGGGGGCUGCUCCUAGUACGAGAGGACCGGAGUGGACGCAUCACUGGUGUUCGGGUUGUCAUGCCAAUGGCACUGCCCGGUAGCUAAAUGCGGAAGAGAUAAGUGCUGAAAGCAUCUAAGCACGAAACUUGCCCCGAGAUGAGUUCUCCCUGAGACUUUAGGUCUCCUGAAGGAACGUUGAAGACGACGACGUUGAUAGGCCGGGUGUGUAAGCGCAGCGAUGCGUUGAGCUAACCGGUACUAAUGAACCGUGAGGCUUAACCUUACAACGCCGAAG
Molecule: ribosomal RNA, 3010 nt
Filed under: Salmonella enterica subsp. enterica serovar Typhimurium
Lineage: Bacteria; Pseudomonadati; Pseudomonadota; Gammaproteobacteria; Enterobacterales; Enterobacteriaceae
Description: 23S ribosomal RNA
Rfam family: Bacterial large subunit ribosomal RNA
Source: RNAcentral